UGCAGGUGGCCCACCAUCUCUGGGGGGCAGCGGAGCCAAGCUGAGGAAAAUCUGCCUCCUCCCUGAGCUUGAAGAAUGCAGCUGAUCUGCAAAUGUCAAAGGGGGGCUGAAGGUCACAUUGGCCAUAAAUUAGGCCUUGGCUUACCACCUAUGGAGUUAGAGGAUCCCUGGCAUGCUAACGGUGUGGCCCUUGAACAUUCAACCGGUUAGCCCAAUGCAGCCUGUCAUCAACCCGCCCUCCUGAACUGAGCCCCUACCUCAUUCAGUAAAGUGGAUAGCCUGUGCACUGAGGAUGACUCAGGAUCAUGUAGUGGAGGCAGCUAUCUGUAGGACUCCUACCUCAUCCAUUGCAGAAGUUGGAAGCUUGUUCCACUGAGAAAAACAACACAGGGCCUGAUCCUGAGAAGUGCUGAGCACCCCCCACAUCGUUGGGAGCUGCUGGUACUCCAUAUCGCUCCGGAUCAGACUCUUACUACAGCAGUCAGAUGAGUCUGAUGGUGGAAGGGCCUUUCAAGUGCAUGCAGAUUACAGCAGAAUGGAACUGAAACGCUACUUGGUUCAUAUAAAUUCAUAUGGGUGAGAUGGAUCCACAUCUGGUGUAAGCACUCACAGCUCCAGUGAAGUCAGGGGAGCCCCAUGUGUCACAUCAGCAGAGGGUCUGUCUACUAAGUUCCAUGCAGUUGUGCGUAGGAUUUUCAGACAAGACCUUACAAACCCAGGUCCAUUCGUUUCUGCAUGGACAUUAAAGAUCUCAAGGACCAUUGUGUGUAAGUGACAGAUCUUUGCCCCGUGUCCUUGGCCAAACUUUCUCCCUUUCUGUUGGGUCUUCUGCUAUGUACUGGCUGUUCUCUUUCCAGCUGGUGGCUGCCCUCAGCCGGACUGUAAGUAUAAAAGUGCUGGUUCUCCUCUGGCUUACACCAGUUUCACACCAGGUCAGUGGAGUGGCUCCUCCUUUACACUGUUGGGAGAUGAGAAAUAGGCUCAGCUUUCUCCUCCCACACAUCUCCCCCUCAUGGUCCCUCCACUGCCCACCAUAUGCCUCUCCCUCUCUUCCCCUUCACUGCCUUCCUUUGUUUCCAUGCUCCCAUGCUUCUGUUAAUUCUUCCCCAGACCUCCCAUCCACCCUGGCCCCCAUAAUAGCAAUAAAAAAAACCUGCGGUGCCAACCAUCACCCUGCUCGUUUUCUAUGUUAUGUCCCUU
Mauremys reevesii (Reeves's turtle) is the source of this 1200-nucleotide long non-coding RNA. RefSeq lists it as uncharacterized. The record is from RefSeq and is a predicted model, not a curated record. Lineage: Eukaryota; Metazoa; Chordata; Testudines; Geoemydidae. The transcript has 4 exons.